ACCUGGUUGAUCCUGCCAGUAGCAUAUGCUUGUCUCAAAGAUUAAGCCAUGCAUGUCCAGUACUUGCCGCUCCGACGGCGACGAAACCGCAAAUGGCUCAUUAAAUCAGUCACGGUUCAUUGGAUCGUGACGCUACUGGAUAACUGUGGCAAUUCUAGAGCUAAUACAUGCAGCCGAGCUCCGACCCUCCGGGGACGAGCGCUUAUUAGAUUGUGACCGGCCCCUCCUCUCGGGGUGGGGAUCGGAAACGUGAACCGAAGCUGAGUAACUUUGGCAGAUCGCACGGGCCCGUCCCGGCGACGCAUCUUUCAAGUGUCUGCCCUAUCAACUGUCGACGGUAGGUCAUGCGCCUACCGUGGUCGCCACGGGUGACGGGGAAUCAGGGUUCGAUUCCGGAGAGGGAGCCUGAGAGACGGCUACCACAUCUAAGGAAGGCAGCAGGCACGCAAAUUACCCACUCCCGGCUCGGGGAGGUAGUGACGAAAAAUAACGAUACGGGACUCAUCGAGACCCCGUGAUCGGAAUG
This is a non-coding RNA of Trichonephila clavata, 526 nucleotides long. Lineage: Eukaryota; Metazoa; Arthropoda; Arachnida; Araneae; Nephilidae. The record is from the annotation of a GenBank genome assembly.